CACGUAGGGGGCGAGCGUUGUCCGGAUUUAUUGGGCGUAAAGAGCUCGUAGGCGGUUCGAUAAGUCGGGUGUGAAAACUCUGGGCUCAACUCAGAGACGCCACCCGAUACUGUUGUGACUUGAGUCCGGUAGGGGAGUAUGGAAUUCCCGGUGUAGCGGUGAAAUGCGCAGAUAUCGGGAGGAACACCAGUGGCGAAGGCGGCUCACUGGGCCGGACCUGACGCUGAGGCGCGAAAGCGUGGGGAGCGAUCCGG
This 254-nucleotide ribosomal RNA is filed under the name uncultured bacterium. Its description in RNAcentral is "partial 16S ribosomal RNA". It matches the Rfam family "Bacterial small subunit ribosomal RNA", at positions 524 to 776 of the family's 1533-position model. The record is from RNAcentral.